UACGAAGGGUGCAAGCGUUACUCGGAAUUACUGGGCGUAAAGCGUGCGUAGGUGGUUUGUUAAGUCUGAUGUGAAAGCCCUGGGCUCAACCUGGGAAUUGCAUUGGAUACUGGCAGGCUAGAGUGCGGUAGAGGGUAGUGGAAUUCCCGGUGUAGCAGUGAAAUGCGUAGAGAUCAGGAGGAACACCAGUGGCGAAGGCGGCUCACUGGUCCGGUACUGACGCUGAGGUGCGAAAGCGUGGGGAGCAAACAGG
This 253-nucleotide ribosomal RNA is filed under the name uncultured bacterium. RNAcentral's name for it is "partial 16S ribosomal RNA". It matches the Rfam family "Bacterial small subunit ribosomal RNA", at positions 524 to 776 of the family's 1533-position model. The record is from RNAcentral.